CAGGGUCUGACGUCGUCGCACUGUCGCAGUAACUACUAACUACGGAACCGCAACUGUAUAUUAUGAUAUAAUAAUAAGGUUCGGAGCUGUACCGUUUCUGCGUUCCCGUGUCAAUAGUGAUGCAUCUGUAUUAUGUAUAGGCGUAUAGCUAUAUAUAUAUAUAUAUAUAUAUAUAUGCCAGAAGAGACGAUGUUUACACAAUGAGUUUCCAGGGUGGCGUAAAUAUAUAUUUUAUUUGCAGACGCACAAUGCAUAAAAUACGCAAGUCCAAUAAACCCAAACAUUGUCGUCAUUACGCUGUGCUCUGCGGUCGAAAAAUAUGUAAUACGAGUUUAUAAAUAAUAACUAUCUUAUACGUACAUACGAUUGUACGUAUGCCUUUUAAAAUUCAACAAUUAUUAAUAUUUUACAUAUACAUAGUUAGAUACCUAUUGG
Rhopalosiphum padi (bird cherry-oat aphid) is the source of this 435-nucleotide long non-coding RNA. RefSeq lists it as uncharacterized. The record is from RefSeq and is a predicted model, not a curated record. The transcript has 3 exons. NCBI's taxonomy places the organism in Eukaryota, Metazoa, Arthropoda, Insecta, Hemiptera, Aphididae.